RNAcentral lists this long non-coding RNA (703 nucleotides) under Musa acuminata (dwarf banana). Its description in RNAcentral is "long non-coding RNA (MACU_LNC005169)". Lineage: Eukaryota; Viridiplantae; Streptophyta; Magnoliopsida; Zingiberales; Musaceae. The record is from RNAcentral.
UCACCUCAAGAAACUUCACCCAUGGCUUCCGGUUCUUGGACGCUCGAGAUCGAGUCCUCCGUCGAGGCAUCUCGACUGUUCAGGGCCGCCGCCCUCGACUGGCACUCCUUGGCUCCUAAGGUCGUGCCGGAGAUCGUCGUCAGCGGCGCCGUCCUCGAAGGCGACGGCUCUGUUGGAUCCGUAAGGCAGCUCAACUUCUCACCAGGUACGACCCACUACGAGAAAGCUUGAGUGACACGGUACGGUACAUGCAUGGUGACACGUACGUUAUCGUAUUGACUGCAGCACUACCAUUCGGCUACGUGAAGGAGCGGCUGGACUUUGUGGACGUUGACAAGUUCGAGUGCAAGCAGACCCUCUUCGAAGGGGGCCACAUCGGGACGAAGCUGGAGAUAGCGACGAGCCAUUUCAAGUUCGAGCCGGCCUCCGGCGGAGGAUGUGUGCUGACGGUGGUGACCACCUACAAACUCCUGCCUGGAGUUGAGGACGACCAGAGCGAGAUAGUGAGGUCUAAGGAGACUGUGACGGGAAUCAUCAAGGCCGCAGAAGCUUACCUCGUCGCCAAUCCUGAUGCCUAUGUGUAGAUCGAUCGAGCAUCUAUCGAGUUUGCGUGAGAUUUCCUUUGUGUUCUCUGCAUAAGUUGCAUCAGUGUGCUUUCCUUGUCUCCUAAACAAUAAUCGAUUGCGAGCCAAUAAACAAUCAC